CUAUACUAUAAGUACAUCUAGGUAAAGGAUCAAAAGAGUCUUUGAUGAUGGUCACUGUGUUGUGCAAUGCCCCAGAGGAAAGUUUGAAUUUAAAGGGCAAUGUCAUGUGUGCCAUCAUACCUGCCUGGAUUGCAGUGGAAGUGAACCUAACAAAUGCACCUCUUGUGGAACAGACAGAAGAGGGACUGAACGUUUCUUGUAUCGAGGGGAGUGCAGAGAGAGCUGUCCUCCAGGUCACUACCACGCAGAGCAUACCUGUAUGCCUUGUUCUGGCCACUGUGAGGUGUGCCUGAACUCUCACCAGUGCAAAAGAUGUUUCAGAGGCUACUACCUUACUGAAAAUAUGUGUCAGAAGCAUAGUUGUAAAGAAGGUGAAGUGGAAGAUCCUGACUCUGAAGACUGCAUACCAUGUUCAGAUGGAUGCCAGAAUUGCAAAGAGG
This is a long non-coding RNA of Neopelma chrysocephalum (saffron-crested tyrant-manakin), 440 nucleotides long. RefSeq lists it as uncharacterized. The record is from RefSeq and is a predicted model, not a curated record. Lineage: Eukaryota; Metazoa; Chordata; Aves; Passeriformes; Pipridae. The transcript is spliced from 4 exons.